GCACAAGCGGUGGAGCAUGUGGUUUAAUUCGACGCAACGCGCAGAGCCUUACCAGCCCUUGACAUCCCGGUCGCGGACUCCAGAGACGGAGUUCUUCAGUUCGGCUGGACCGGAGACAGGUGCUGCAUGGCUGUCGUCAGCUCGUGUCGUGAGAUGUUGGGUUAAGUCCCGCAACGAGCGCAACCCCCGUCCUUAGUUGCUACCAUUUAGUUGAGCACUCUAAGGAGACUGCCGGUGAUAAGCCGCGAGGAAGGUGGGGAUGACGUCAAGUCCUCAUGGCCCUUACGGGCUGGGCUACACACGUGCUACAAUGGCGGUGACAAUGGGAAGCGAAGGGGCAACCCCUAGCAAAUCUCAAAAAGCCGUCUCAGUUCGGAUUGGGCUCUGCAACUCGAGCCCAUGAAGUUGGAAUCGCUAGUAAUCGUGGAUCAGCAUGCCACGGUGAAUACGUUCCCGGGC
This 459-nucleotide ribosomal RNA is filed under the name uncultured bacterium. Its description in RNAcentral is "bacterial SSU rRNA". It matches the Rfam family "Bacterial small subunit ribosomal RNA", at positions 923 to 1379 of the family's 1533-position model. The record is from RNAcentral.